GAUGAACGCUAGCGAUAGGCUUAACACAUGCAAGUCGAGGGGCAGCACGGUGUAGCAAUACACGUGGUGGCGACCGGCGUACGGGUGCGUAACACGUAUGCAACCUACCCGCUAGUUGGGGGAUAACCCGGCGAAAGUCGGACUAAUAUCCCAUAUUAUUCUUACCGGGCAUCCGGUGAGUCUGAAAGAUUUAUCGAUUGCGGAUGGGCAUGCGGAUGAUUAGCUAGUAGGUGGGGUAACGGCUCACCUAGGCGACGAUCAUUAGGGGUUCUGAGAGGAAGGUCCCCCACACUGGAACUGAGACACGGUCCAGACUCCUACGGGAGGCAGCAGUGAGGAAUAUUGGUCAAUGGGCGCUAGCCUGAACCAGCCAAGUCGCGUGAAGGAUGACAGAUCUAUGGUUUGUAAACUUCUUUUGCAGGGGAGUAAAGUGCGACACGUGUGUUGUAUUGCAAGUACCCUGCGAAUAAGCAUCGGCUAACUCCGUG
RNAcentral lists this ribosomal RNA (488 nucleotides) under uncultured bacterium. RNAcentral's name for it is "bacterial SSU rRNA". It matches the Rfam family "Bacterial small subunit ribosomal RNA", at positions 28 to 507 of the family's 1533-position model. The record is from RNAcentral.